GCGUUUGAGCCAUUGAAUGAUGAACAGGAAAAACUUGACUUUAUUCUCCUGCCAUGGGGGGCGCUCUUUUAACGAGAAAAACUCCUUCACAAAUGUGUUGAUGGCUGGACAUUGCAUCAUCCUAGAAAACAUGGAGGCCAGUGAGGACAAAAAUAAAAAGUUAUAAGACUUUUAAAUAUGUGGAUUUUAGGGUUAUCUUUGGCGCCCCCUAGAACCUAAACCGUGGGGUGCAGCGUCAUGAUUUGAAUAACUUUUAAUGGCCAUGGGGUGUAGAUUGGCCUGAGCAAAUGUGGUGCCGGUGGAACGAAAGCCUUCAAAAGGAGUUAGCGAAAUUCCAAUGUGUGCGAAUCUGCAAAAAAUGCGAAAUAACCCUUUAACCGUACAUUUUACAGAUACGUGGCCAUUGACUUUUUCGAAGAUCUUAUUGAAAGACACGUGUAUGUAAAAUUUUGUGUCAAUACGACAAAACAUACAGGCGUAGCACUCAACAAUGUGUAUUUUCACCUUAGUGGACAAGAAAAAAUGGACUUUUUUCUCCUGCCAUGGGGGGGCGCUCUUUUGGCGAGUAAAAAUUCCUUCACAAAUGUGUUGAUGGCUGGACAUUGCAUCAUCCUAGAAAACUUGGAGGCCAGUUGGGACAAAAAUAAAAAGUUAUAAGACUUUUAAAUAUGUGGAUUUUACGGUUAUCUUUGGCGCCCCCUAGAACCUAAACCGUGGGGUGCAGCGUCAUGAUUUGAAUAACUUUUAAUGGCCAUGGGGUGUAGAUUGGCCUGAGAAAAUGUGGUGCCGGUGGAACGAAAGCCUUCGGAGGAGUUAGCGAAAUUCCAAUGUGUGCGGAUCGGCAAAAAAUGCGGAAUAACCUUUUAACCGUACAUUUGACAGAUACGUGCGCAUUGACUUUUUUGUAGAUCUUAUUGAGAUACAUGUGUGUGUCAAUUUUGGUGUCAUUUUGCCAAAGCGUACAGGUGUUACACUCAACAAUGUGUAUUUUCACCUUAGGGGACAAGAAAAAAUGGACUUUUUUCUCCUGCCAUGGGGGGCGCUCUUUUGGGGAGUAAAAAUUCCUUCACAAAUGUGUUGAUGGCUGGACAUUGCAUCAUCCUAGAAAACUUGGAGGCCAGUGAGGGCAAAAAUAAAAAGUUAUAAGACUUUUAAAUAUGUGGAUCUUAGGGUUAUCUUUGGCGCCCCCUAGAACCUAAACCGUGGGGUGCAGCGUCAUGAUUUGAAUAACUUUUAAUGGCCAUGGGGUGUAGAUUGGCCUGAGCAAAUGUGGUGCCGGUGGAACGAAAGCCUUCGGAGGGGUUAGCGAAAUUCCAAUGUGUGCGGAUCUGCAAAAAAUGCGAAAUAACCCUUUAACCGUACAUUUGACAGAUACGCCCGCACUGACUUUUUUGUAGAUCUUAUUGAGAUACAUGUGUGUGUCAAUUUUUGUGUCAUUUUGACAAAGCGUACAGGCGUGACAGUCAAUAGUGUGAAUUUUCACCUUAGGGGGCGCUAUGGAGCCAUUUUGCAUUUUCUUGUUUGGGCGACUUCGGAAUAUCAAAUUUUUCACCAGGCCCGGUCGUCCUGCCAAAUUUCAUGAGUUUUCGCCAGUGGGAAGUGGGCCAUUUUCCAGUUCAAAGGGGAGGAAAAAUAAUAAUAAUAAUAAUAAUAACAAAAGAAGGAAACAUGCAGGAACAAGAGGGCUCUCGCAGCUGCUUAGCAGCUACGCUCGGGCCCUAAUAACAAAAGAAGGAAACUACAGGAACAAGAGGGCUCUCGCAGCUGCUUAGCAGCUACGCUCGGGCCCUAAUAAUAAUAAUAACAAAAGAAGGAAACUACAGGAACAAGAGGGCUCUCGCAGCUGCUUAGCAGCUACGCUCGGGCCCUAAAGAAAGAAAGAAAGAAAGAAGAAAGAAAAACCUAUACAGGAAUAAUAGGGCUCUACGCCCGGCUGCUCUGCAGCUGGCUCGGGCCCUAAAGAAGAAUCCAUCAGGAACAAGAGGGCUCUCGCAGCUGCUUAGCAGCUACGCUCGGGCCCUAAGAAAGAAACAAAGAAAAACCACUUGGGGAAUAAUAGGGCUCUCGCAGCUGCUUAGCAGCUACGCUCGGGCCCUAAAAAGAAGAAUCCAUCAGGAACAAGAGGGCUCUUGCAGCUGCUUAGCAGCUACGCUCGGGCCCUAAAGAAAGAAAGAAACAAAGAAAAACCACUUGAGGAACAACAGGGCCUACGCCCAGCUGCUCUGCCGCUGGCUCGGGCCCUAAGAAAGAAAGAAAGAAACAAAGAAAAACCACUUGAGGAAUAAUAGGGCUCUCGCAGCUGCUCAGCAGCUACGCUCGGGCCCUAAAAAACCACUUGGGGAAUAAUAGGGCUCUCGCAGCUGCUUAGCAGCUACGCUCGGGCCCUAAAAAACCACUACAGGAAUAACAGGGCUCUACGCCCGGCUGCUCUGCAGCUGGCUCGGGCCCUAAAAAACCACUACAGGAAUAAUAGGGCUCUACGCCCGGCUGCUCUGCAACUGGCUCGGGCCCUAAAGAAAAACCACUACAGGAAUAAUAGGGGUCUACGCCCGGCUGCUCUGCAGCUGGCUCGGGCCCUAAAGAAGAUAGAAAGAAACAAAGAAAAACCACUACAGGAACAACAGGGCUCUACGCCCGGCUGCUCUGCAGCUGGCUCGGGCCCUAAUAAACUUGCCUUGACUGCCUUGCCUUUUAUGCAGUUCCCCAGAACGAUAUGUACAACUCCAUGGCUUCAAACUUCAUUUUUCAUCUACGACCACUCUGCUCUCACAAACUCUCCAUGGUGACAGCCAAUAGCACACGCAAAAUCCUUGUUUAAAGAGGGUGGUCCACACCACCUUUGCACCUGUUAUCAAUUGCACACACAAUGAUAGGAGAUCACGCACAACAGGCCCACUAAUAGCCUGUCCAAUUUUUGAGUUUGCACAUGCAAUUUAGUGUUCGCUAUUUGGGAUCUCAGUUGAUCAGGCCCAUAGUGUUUUCAGCUUCAGCCUUUUGCACAUCAACUUCUCAAGCCAGUACACUGCCACACUCUUACCCCACACUCAAUUUUAAAGGGUCAUUCCAGCGUAAAUUUAAGUUAUGGUCAAACACACUGUAACAUCGAGUUAGACACCCCCUUGAGAGAUGAAUGUUGCCGACUGCUUGCUUCUCUAGUUAUACCAACUUUAGUAACAACUGCACAAUAGCAAUACACAGUGGUCUAUGUCUCCACACACGAACCUCAACCAAAAAGCCACUCUAUAGCCACAAAUAGUGCUCAGAACAGCACCUAACUUCAUCAACAGGACAUAUAGGGUCCCAGCCACAGUACUAGCCACCAAACAUCUUUUUAGCUUUGCCUGGUGUCUUUAGCAAAGAGACCAAACACAACUCACCCACUCUCCUCCAGCAGCCGCUUGUGAGGGAGCCCUGGCCAGUCGAUCAGUGAGUGCAGCAAAAAAAAUUGUAAUUAUUACUUCAUGGAAAUGCAAUCAGACUGAGACGCUAAGGCAGAAGAACUACCACUUCUGCAGUGCACAUACAAGAUACACAAAAACUUUGAUUGCAUUUCCAUUAAGUAACAAACAUAAAUGUUAUUCCUUAAGCUGCAAAACUCUGCUGCACUCAGAGUGCAGCCUCACAUAAACACAGCCCGGGUCAGACACUCGGCAGACUGAACACCAGUCUUCAACCCCUAUUAACCCUUCCUGAUGAUUUAUAUAGGGUGACAAUAUGUCCUCUUUUACCCAGACAUGUCCUCUUUUUGGGGGGCUGUCCUGGCUGUCGGGCUUUGUCUGGGGAAGUUUAUAAAAUCCUUCAAAUGUCUGUGAAUUUGUUUGUAAGUUUCAAGUUUGUGUCAUGUGGACUUACUGAGUUAAAAGUGUGUAGAAGACACUUGAGCUGACCCGAAAAACUCUCAAAAUUAAAUCUGUGUGACUCUGUGACUCCGCCCCCAUGUAGUUGUGUCCUCUCUCUGGGAAGUCAGAAUAUGGUCACCCUAGUCUUUGCGGAGUAGAGGCUUUGGGUUUCUUUUUAUUUCCAUAAAAAAGUGCUAAUGCUGAAGCAGCUUCUUCCAGUUACCACCUGGUGGAGCUAAAGAAACCAUGAAAAUAAUAAAAGUUUGGACUGAGAGGAAGUAGGGAGCAUACCCCAUCUUUUCAGGUUGAUGCCAAUUUCAUUAAAAGACUUUAUUAUAAUUAUCAGUAGUUAGUGAGUUAAUGAAGGAAUAGGUGGACACUCCUAAAAAAGUUAAAUUUACUGACGACUGGACUAUUAAGGCAGCGUGACCAUCACCCAGUCCACCCAGUUGCAUGAAAGGUAAUUUUGUGCGGCAACAAAAUGUUGUCCCUACAUUUGGCAGGGCCUUAAAGUCCCAAUUGAUUGUUUUUGUUUGUUUUUUGUUGUUAUUCAUUGGCUUUUAACCCUGCAUGAGACUCGGCUCCUGUUUUAGUGUUUUAUGGUUUGUUUUUAGUUAUUUGUUUCUAUGUUUUUAAAUCAUUUUUUAAAAACAUUGAAACUAUAUUUUACUUUUAAUUCUGCUUUUAUUUUAUCCAUUGUUUUAAUUGUUUUUUGAUUUUUUUUUUUAUCUUGUUGUUUUGUUUAGUUAUGUACAGCACUUUGUUCAGCUGUGGUUGUUUUAAAGUGUUUAACAAAUAAAGUUGAGUUGAGUUGAGUUGAGUUUGUUUGGUUGUUUGUUUUUUCUUUUACUACUUAAACCAUGCAUAAGACGCCAGUAGCACUGUUAAAUAUCGUGUUUACCCAUUUUUAUCCAUUUUAAAAAGUCUUGAUCAACAUUAAUUUUUAAGCUAUAACAUCUCUGCUGCUGGAAAGCGAAAGAUCUCGGUCAUCAAAGACUUGGUUUUAAAGCUUUUAUCUUAUACCAGUACUCUAACUUCUGCAGGGUGGUUGACAUGCUGGAGAAGAUCACCAAUGUCCUUGCUCGUCAUCCGCUUGCAUGGGAUGUUGUGGUUCAUGUUGGCUGCAAUGACAUCUCCGAUCGAUCCUCUAAAGGGGUUAAAGCCAUACACUGUACACUGUGUGCGCAAUUAUUAGGCAAAUGAGUAUUUUGAUCAUAUCAUCAUUUUUAUGCAUAUUUUCCAACUCCAAGCUGUAUAAACUUGAAUGCUUAUUGGAUAUAAGCAUAUCAGGUAAUGUGUAUUAGUGUAAUGAGGGAGCCUGGGGCCUAAGGAGAUCAAAACCCUAUAUCAAGGUGUGCAUAAUUAUUAGGCAGCUUCUUUUCCUCAGGUAGAAUGGGCCAAAAAAGAGAUUUAAAUGACUCCGAAAAGUCAAAAAAUGUAAAAAGUCUUUCAGAGGGAUGCAGCACUCUUGAAAUUGCUUAGAUAUUUGGGUGUGAUCACAGAACCAGCAAACAUUUUGAUGCAAAUAGUCAACAGGGUCGCAAGAAAUGUGUUAAGAAAAAAAGACGCAAAUUAACUGCCAAAGAUUUGAGAGGACACAAACGUAAAGCUACCAGGAACCCAAUAUCCUCCAGUGCUGUCAUAUUCCAGAACUGCCCAGAGGAACAAGAUGAUCAGUGCUCAGAGACAUGGCCAAGGUAAGGAAGGCUGAAACCCGACCACCACUGAACAAGACACAAGUUGAAACGUCAAGACUGGGCCAAGAAAUAUCUGAAGAGAGAUUUUUCAAAGGUUUUAUGGACUGAUGGGAUGAGAGUGACUCUUGACAGAGCAGAUGGAUGGACCCGUGGCUGGAUCAGUAAUGAGCACAGAGCUCCACUUCGAAUCAGACACCAGCAAGGUGGAGGCGGGGUAUUGGUAUGGGCUGGUAUUAUUAAAGAUGAGCUAGCUGGACCUUUUGGGUUAAAGAUGGACUUAAAAUCAACUCCCAAAUCCAAUGCCAGUUUUGAGAAGACACUUUCUUCAAGCAGUGGUACAGGCAAAAGUCUGCAUCUUUCAAGAAAACCAUGAUUUUUAUGCAGGACAAUGCUCCAUUGCAUGCAACAAAGUACUCCACUAUGUGGCUCGCCAGUAAAGGCCUUAAAAACGAAAGAAUAAUGACGUGGCCUCCUUCUUCACCUGACCUAAACCCUGUUGAGAACUUGUGAGCCCUUCUUAAACGGGAAAUUUACAGUGAAGGAAGACAGUACACCUCUCUGAACAGUGUCUGGAACAGUGUCUGGAAGGCUUUGGUUCCUGCAACACAAAAAGUUGAUCGUCAACAGAUCAAGAAACUGAAAGACUCCAUGAAUGGAAAGCUUAUGACUGUUAAUGAAAAGAAGGGUGGCUAUAUUGGUCACUGAUUUUUUUUUUUUAAAUUUCAACAAUUUUUAUUUGUAAAUUGAGUUGUUUGUUUAUCAUUCUCACUUUAACAAGUGAAAAUAAACAAGUGAGAUGGAAAAUUUUUCGUUUUUAAUUUAGUUGCAUAAUAAUUCUGCACACUAUAGCUGCCCCCAAUAAUUGUGCACACAUAGAUAUUCUCCUAAGGAAGUCAAAAUCUCACUUUUACUCCCUUAAAUAUUAAGGUUUGAGGUUUAUUAACAUUUUGGAUUGACCGAGAGCACUGUAGUUGUUCAAAAAUAAAAUUUAUCCUCAAAAAUACAACUUGCCUAAUAAUUGUGCACACAGUGUAUACUAUGGGGCGGCAGUAGCUCAGGAGGUAGAGUGGUCGUCCAAUAACCGGAAGGUUGGCGGUUCGAUUCCCCCCUAAUCCAAGUCUGUCCGUUGUGUCCUUGGGCAAGACACUUAACCUACCUUGCUCCCAGUGUGUGUCCUCCACUGGUGUAUGAUUGUGAGUGUUGUGUGGUGGUGGUCGGAGAGGCCGUAGGCGCAGAAUGGCAGCCACGUUUCCACCACCACCAAAGUGUGACUGUGUGAGCGAAUGAAUGAUGUAUCCAAUGUAAAGCGCUUUGAGGGUCUCUGAUAAAGCGCUAUAUGAAAUCUGAUGCAUUAUUAUUAUUAUUAUUAUGGACAACCUGGUUCUGCCUUCCGCCUGUAUACGGAUUUGAAGCCAAAAAGCUCUCGGUAAUUCCGGGUUUUUCUCCACCUCCUUGAAACCAGAGCUGCGCUGUAGCGAUGCAUGCAUUCGGCCAUGCAGUCGCCGAGAGUCCCUGUGAUGACGCUCGGCUGAAACAGCGUAUCCCCCCCAGGUGAGCUACGCAAUCCCUGAACGCCCAUAGGCUGUACCAGGUGUCAAUCAUAGAAAACAUGAACCCCCUAAUAACUUUUAAAAAUGGAGCGGUACAGAAAAAAAAGGACUUGGGCACAAACCAGUCUUACAAUAACUACAUGUCAACAUCACAAGCAGGGGGGAGAAAAAAUAAUGUUCUGUGUAAUAAAUUUCUAAAGUUUGUCCACAGUCCCAUAAGCUUUGCUGGCGGAGGCGGGAUUUAUGACCUGUACUGCAGCCCACCAUCAGAGGGUGCUGUUCUCGGAGUGGCUUCACCCAGCGAGGAGGCAGACUCUGUCCAUCUUAUAUACAGUCUAUGGUUAAAGCAGCACUUUAACACACUCCUGGACCUCCUUGCUACUGAGGGUUGACGCUUCUUCAUCAGUGGACCAAUCCCACCACACAGUCGCGGCAUUGAACGCCUCAGCCAGACUCUGAAUCUCCAUACAUGGCUUAAAUCCACUUGUCCAGCCCAAAACUUUGUCUUCAUUGACAAUUUCAACCAAUUCUGGAAACGCCCGGUCCUCUUCCACCCCAACGGCAUUCAACUCAGUGGUCUAGGCUCUCGCACGCUAACAGAAAACAUUUCCUACUCCAUUUGGACCUCUCCCUGGCACAUCCUCACCUACCCUGUGCUGCUAAUCACAAGCCAUCUGCUCCACCCAACAAUAAAGUAAACUGCUCCCUCUCAUGGCCAGGAAGAGGAAUUACACACACCUCACUGUCUCCAGCAAAAACAUUCCCUGACUGCCAUAGUCCCUCUGUGUCCACCAACCAGCCUACAGCCCCUGAGCCCAUCACCUCUAUUCCUAUUGCCACUGUCUCAAAUUUAGUUGUAAUUACCCCACAGCCUUCUCUUCUGCUCCUGACCCUUUUCCAAGGCAUUCUCUUGACAGAGAUGCCUUCAGAGCCAGAAAUAGUUUGGGUGUAAUACAUUUAAAUAUUCAUAGCCUGAUACAUAAAUCAGACUGUGUGAAAGUCCUAGUGUCACAGUGCGAUCCUGAUAUUUAAGUUCUGAGUGAAACAUGGCUCAGAAAAAGUGUUACAGACUCAGAUGUGGCUUUGUCUGGAUACACUAAUUUUAGAGUGGAUUGAGUUGGUAAGGGAGGUGGUGUGGCAGUCUAUGUGAAGUCACUCUUUUCUGUGUCUGUUUUAAAUAUGGUUAUGUACUAUACCAAACUGUCUUGGAUUUAUUGCUUUAAAAAUCCAGUUGGGGCCUUUCUCACUGGUAGUGAUUGGUGUGUAUAGACCCCCAUCAGCCAACCCAAAAUCAGUAGCUAUUUUAGCAAAAUUAAUUUCUGAGUAUAUUGACAACGAAAUGCUGGUUGUUGGUGAUUUUAACUGAAAUUGGCUCAAUACCACCUCAGAUUAUUUCAAAGAAAUUAGUUCAGAUCUACAGCUAACACAACUAAUAUCAGAAUCCACAAGACCUAAUCUAAAAGACAACUCAAAAUCAACAUUAAUAGAUCUUUCAUUUUCCAAUAGACCUGAAAAAAUUGUUGCCUGUGGGGUUCUUGAACUGGGUGCUAGUAACCACUGUCCCAUAGCUUGUGUGAGAAGCACCAAACUAAAAAAAAAAAUAAAGUCACACUCAACUCUUAAGAGAAAUUUCAAAGUUUUUAAUGAAAAUCGUUUCCUGGAAGAUUUGAGGCAAAACUUCACAAACUUACAAACUCCCUACAGAGACCACUGAUAGUCAGGUAGCCCUGGACUUUUUCACAAACAAUUUUGUUAAAGUCAUUGGUAAACAUGCUCCCAUUAAAAGGCUCAGAAUUAAAGAAAGAAUUGCUCCAUGGUUCUCACGGGAGCUCUCAGUCAUUUUCACAAAAAGGAAUAAAGCCUGGUCCCAGGGUAGGCACACAGGAGAUCUCUCUUUUAAACAACUUAGAAAUAAAUGCACAACAGCUGUUUGAAAAGCUAAAUCAGAUUAUUAACUGGAACUCAUCAUCCGCUCCACUUCAACCCGGCACUGUUCUGGAAAGCAGCAAAUUUAGAUAAAAGGAAAAACAAUAAUUCACUUCCCGUAACUAUAAAAAUCAAUGAUGGUCUACUUUCAAAUCAAUCCCAAAUAUGCUAUAUCUUAAAUAAACACUUCAUAGCGGCUGGUCAUCUCUCUGAAAAAAAAAAAAAAACUGGAAUCCUUCCAGUCAUUGAUUCCAACAUGAGUUCACAAACUGACAGUCUGAGUGCUUAUAACUGCACCUCCUCCUUCUCUUUCCAAACCUUUUCUCACUUUGAAGUGUUUCAUGCUCUUCAAACCUUAGACACCAGAAGUUCCGCUUGUGAGGACAACUUACACCCCUUCUUUCUAAAACUGGCUGCUCCAAUUAUUUCAAAAAAGCUAUCAUGCAUUUUCAACCUCUCAAUAUCCACAGGCUUCCAAAUCUAUGGAAAUCUGCUCAUGUGGUUCCCCUACAUAAAGGUGGUGCUAAGGAGGAUUUAAAUGACCAUCGCCCAAUCUCCAAAUUAUCCUGUUUAUCAAAAGUUCUGGAAUCCCUGGUCAAUAAUCAACUCAUGUCCUUUCUUGCACACCACUCAAUUCUCAACCCACACCAGUCUGGCUUCAGACAGAAUCACAGCACAGUUUCAGCCAUUACAUUAGUUACAAAUGACAUAAUAUCUGCAUUAGACAAGAGGCAAUACUGCGCUGCUCUCUUUAUAAAUCUGUCGAAAGCUUUUGACACAAUCGAUCACUUCUUACUGUUAAAAAAACUAUCCAGUAUUGGUUUGGAUGAAGGUUCACAAGCAUGGUUUCAGGAUUAUUUGUUUGAGAUAUCUCAAUGUGUUAAAAAAGGGCAAGCCAAAUCAGAUUUUUUAUUGAUAGAUAGAGGAGUGCCACAGGGUUCAGUUUUGGGGCUUUUGCUUUUCACUGUUUAUAUCAAUGACACUGCAAAAUUGUCAUGUACAUCUUUAUGCAAAUGAUGCUAUUGUUUAUUGUGUCGCAAAUACUGUACAAUCGGCCAUUGACAACCUGCAACUUGAUUUUAACAUUCUACACGGGUCUCUUAUUAACCUUAAACUGGUACUAAAUGUAAGCAAGACAAAAUUCAUGAUGUUCUCCAGGGCUAGGAAUGUUACAUCUGAAAACAUAAAGAUAUCUACUUCCAAUGGAUCAAGAAUUGAGACAGCCACUAACUUUAAAUAUCUUGGGAAAUGGCUUGAUGAGGAAUUUACAUUUAAACAUCAUAUAAGUACUCUUGUCACCCAGUUAUGGCAGAGAGUUGGUUUUCUUUACAGAAACAGAGCAUGUUUCUACUGUCGUCGUAAAAAAAUCGUGGAGGCCAUGUUCUUGUCUGUCCUGGACUACGGCGAUAUAAUGUACAGACAUGCUGGAGUUUCAACUCUCAAGCCUGUGGACUUAGUUUACCACUCUGCUCUCCAAUUCAUAACUGGUGUUGGGUACAACACUCAUCAUUGCAUCCUCUAUGACAGGGGUUCUCAAUUAGAAUUGUAAAAGGUCCAGAAAAUAAAUUUUGAGGAAGUCAUAGGUCCACAGUGCAUGCGUGGUGGCGAAAAAUUUUGGCGUUUUUUUUUAUUUCAUUUUUUUACCUUUUUUAUGUAGUUUUAGGCUGAGUGUACUGUACUGUAAAAAUCAGGAGUUAUUGGAAGGCACAAAAACAUUCAUUUUCAGCACACUGUUAUUCUUUCUUACUUAGUAUUACUUAAUAAAAUAGCUUAAUAAAAAGCUUUUUAUUUUAUCUGUUUGUAGCUCAGAUUUUGGGCGGCAAUCUCUAUCAAAAUCGCUUCUUAUAAGGGCGUUUUAUGUUUUCACUUUUUAUCAGAGCAACUGUGCUUUGCACAAAAGACAAAUUGGCUUUGUGCUUGAAGGAGGUAAGCUAAUCAUAUAUUUGUCGGUCCAUUCGUCAGUGAAUCAGCGAUUUUCAGUGUCCACCUUUCUCUGAUUUGCCCUUUUGAUGUCGGGUGCUGGGUGUGAGCAACGCUCCUGCUACAAAGACGUUACCACUGCCUGCGCCGUGCAAAGAAGACAGACUGAAGGAGGCAGAUGUGUGACUGCCGGUUUGCGUAGUUAUCAGCCAAUCAGCGCAUCGUUGUCAUGGGAAUGGCAGCCCAUUAUGCAAGCGGGAGCACGCGCAGUCACACACACACACACAGACACACACACACACACAGGCUCUCUCUCUCUCGCUCUCUCUCUCGGCCAGUCUAACCUCGCGUCAGUCAGUCAGAGAGAGUGCCGUGCCGUGUUGUUGAUUUUUUUAUUUUGCUCUGGGUCCACAAAGAGGUGGUCCGCCUAUUGCGGACCCUGGCUCUAUGAGAAAGUUGGUUGGCCAUCACUUGAUCAGAGAAGGAAUAAGCACUGUUUUUUGUAUGUUUUCAAAUCCCUUACAAACAUGCUCCCACCCUACCUCACAAACCUGUUAAAGUUUUAUGAUUGCUCCUACAUGACCCAUUCUUCUGGUUCACUAACUCUGAAAGGUCUUCGAGUCUACACUGAACUACACAUGUAGUGUAGUGUAGUUAGGACUUUAAUUGUGAUAAAGUUUUAGCCAAAAUCACGUUACCUGUAACAUUUUCAAGGGCUUUUCUUCCACAGAGCUCCAGUAGCUCAUCAGCAAUUCAACUCUGAGUCAAGACAGCGCUGCUCUGCGCACUCCUCUUCAUGCAAACUUGCAGCCUAAUAUUGCCAGUAUAGCAGAAGUGGCAGGUAAUACUGGAGCGAUUCAGCUCUCGGACACUCAUGUAUUUAGAGGACAUGAUAAAAGUUAAUAUCAUAAUUAGCUUUCUUAUGAGCAUCGCAAUCUGCUAAUACACGUGCUUGUUCUGCCGUCGUCCUCUAUACUUUUCCGGGUGUGGCCUGCAUAGUGGAGCUCUGGGAGUGGAACUUGGAUUUGUGAUGCAGGAAAUCUCUCUGCGUCUGAUCCUGUAGUUUGGGUCUGCCAGAGAUUCACAGCCAUUUGAAUGAAAAAAUAUGCAGAAAUGCAAUUUUGCACUUACUUUUCUCAUGAUAUGUCCUGUAGCAUCAGAAAA
This is a non-coding RNA of Xyrichtys novacula (pearly razorfish), 12096 nucleotides long. The record is from the annotation of a GenBank genome assembly. Lineage: Eukaryota; Metazoa; Chordata; Actinopteri; Labriformes; Labridae.